RNAcentral lists this transfer RNA (72 nucleotides) under Sphaerobolus stellatus SS14. Its description in RNAcentral is "tRNA-Asp (GTC) (tRNA-Asp-GTC-13-1)". It matches the Rfam family "tRNA". Rfam says of the family: Transfer RNA (tRNA) molecules are approximately 80 nucleotides in length. Their secondary structure includes four short double-helical elements and three loops (D, anti-codon, and T loops). The record is from RNAcentral. Lineage: Eukaryota; Fungi; Basidiomycota; Agaricomycetes; Geastrales; Sphaerobolaceae.
UCUUAGGUAGUAUAGUGGUUAGUAUUCGCGCUUGUCAUGCGCGAGACCGGGGUUUAAUUCCCCACCUGAGAG